Long non-coding RNA from Callithrix jacchus (white-tufted-ear marmoset), 1056 nucleotides. NCBI's taxonomy places the organism in Eukaryota, Metazoa, Chordata, Mammalia, Primates, Cebidae. The record is from Ensembl.
ACGCCGCGGCCCCCGAGGGUUAGUCCUAAGUGGCGCUCUCUUAGGACGUUAGGCUGUCGGGGACCCGUCCUUCUUCCGCGGCAGGAACCGUGUCUCAGGAGUCGGGUCCUAAGGAAGAGGGCAGCUCUAGCCCCUCACUCACCGCCAGCUCGCCCGACGGCCAGAGGGCAGCGGGGUCGCGCUGGUGCGGCCGGCAGGGGUCCCUGUGGGCCGGCGCCCCCUCCCAGAGGGGGCCAGAGCCGUGCCUGUCGCCGCGGCUGGAGUCAGCCUCCCGGUGCCCUCGGACGCGGCACGACCUCGCACACACACACCGCGCGCACACGCUCGCGCCGUGCGGUAUUUCCCGGCCCCGGACCCCGCCUCUGGGAGGGGCCGGGGAGCCUAGCCCCGCUAGCAGGGUGGAGGAACCGGGAACGCCUGGGUCCCGGCCCCCGCGUCAGGGCUGUGCGCCACCUUCCCAGCCCCUUUCGGCGCGCCGGCUCGGCCCCUGGUGCUGCCACCCUUCGGCCUGCGGGGGUCCCGGAGGCUCCCGGGCGCGCGGCGGACGAGGUUGGGGAGACGAGUGGGGGCCGCGGGCUUCGGGCCGAGAGGCGGCUCGGCUCCGCGCCGGGGAAAGUUUGGACGUGGGAAACUCCCUCCCCUCCCGCCCCGCGGAGAGGAGGGGGCGCGCAGGGCCGGGCGCAGGCACCCCUUCUCCUCCUGCGGCGGGAGGCUCGCCCCCCGGGCCUCCUGCCCGGCCGCUCCCGCCGGCCAGGGGGCUCCCUCCUGGCCGGGCAGCCUCCCCUCGGCGGCGAUCCGGCCGCCCCUCCCGCGGCACCCCGCGCUCUUACCUCGGGGAGAGGCCCGGGGCUCCCCCCAGUCCUGCCGCCUCGGGACGCUGCGUGGGGCGGGAGCCCCGGCGCGGGCGGCGGGCGAGUCCGGAGCCCCGCGGCCGCCCGGAGGAGCCGGAGGGAGAGCGGGAGCGAGAGGGGGAGCCGCGGCGACGUGUGCGCGCGUGUGUGUGAGCGAGAGAGCGAGGGAGUGAGCGAGCGGGAGCGAGGGAGUGUGCGUGUCUGA